Long non-coding RNA from Solanum stenotomum, 1350 nucleotides. RefSeq lists it as uncharacterized. NCBI's taxonomy places the organism in Eukaryota, Viridiplantae, Streptophyta, Magnoliopsida, Solanales, Solanaceae. The transcript has 5 exons. The record is from RefSeq and is a predicted model, not a curated record.
UCAUCAUAGAGAAGAUAUUACUGUCAUUGUACUCUGAUCAAACUAAAAGGUCACAGAUUUAGUGCUGUAGAGUUUAUAGAGUGGUGCUAAUGCUUUCCAUCUUUUGAUGUCAUGCACUGGUACUGUUUUGCGACGCAGAUCAGGGACAUUGUGGUUCUUGUUGGGCUUUUGGUGCUGCUGAGUCGUUGUCUGAUCGUUUCUGUAUUCAUUAUGGCUUGAAUAUCUCUCGGCCAGCAAAUGAUAUCGUAGCAUGCUAGGGCUAUUUAUGUGUGGAUGGUUGUGAAUUGUGAUGGUGGAUAUCCAUUAGAACCUUGGAGAUACUUUGUCCGCAAGGGUGUGAUCACUGAAGAGUGUGACCCUUACUUUGAUAAUAAGGGAUGUUCCCACCGUGGAUGUGAACCUGGAUAUCCCACUCCUCAGUGCAAGAGGAAGUGUGUUAAAGAGAAUCUACUCUGGAGUUUUCCAAGCAUUUUGGCGUCAAUGCAUAACUGAUCAACUCCGAUCCAUACAGUAUCAUAUGUGAGGACAAUAAUAAUGCUUGACUGAAUUAAAUAGCAAAGUAUAAUUGAAAUUACUUUCUUUUGAUGGUGAACUGUCAAAUAAUUGUUGAUAAGCCGUUCGACAGAGUUCAAAAUAAUUGUUGGUCACCAACUCUACCUUUUUGAAUUCUAGUGUUACCAUCUACUAUGUUUGUGGAAAUAUUAGUGAUCUGUAGAGGUUUAUGUUCCAGGAUAAUUAUAUCCAUGACAAUGAAGAAGUACCAGUUAGAAAUUCCAAUGAUCUUCUUAAAUGCAUCUAGAGGUCAUUGUUUAAAUGCACUAAUUUCCCAGUCUGGAAAUAUUUGAGUCGUUUGUGCAUAAAUGUACUGCUUGUCAAUUGGUGCAUACUUAAGUAGUAGACUGCUUACUUUGUUCUUGCAUUUGCCUCAGCAUGGUGUCCUUGUGAAUGCAUCCUCUUUUAUUGGAUUUGUUUCUUUGUUCUUUCUGUUAUCUUCUCCUAAUUUUACCUGUGACCUUCAUGUACUCAAUGACAAACCGUUUCUCAAGCACAUGAUUUCGAUCACUACUAGUUUGGAGUUUACAAGCACAUAACUGGUGAGCAAAUGGGAAGCCCAUGCUAUUAAGCUCAUUGGAUGGGGAUCCUCUGAGGAUGGAGAGGACUAUUGGCUCCUUGCCAAUCAAUGGAACAGAGGCUGGGGUGACGUAUGUCUUGAUCUCACCCUUUUUCUUUCAACAAUUUACUUGAGCAAAAAUAGUUCCUUCUACUUCUACGAAAAAUAUUUAAGUUGUUGCCAUUGGUUUUACCCUUUCAUAGGAUUUCAGAAAUGACUAUAUUUACGAGGACUUUGAA